Molecule: signal recognition particle RNA, 299 nt
Filed under: Microcebus murinus (gray mouse lemur)
Lineage: Eukaryota; Metazoa; Chordata; Mammalia; Primates; Cheirogaleidae
Description: Metazoan signal recognition particle RNA (ENSMICG00000045507.1)
Rfam family: Metazoan signal recognition particle RNA
About the family: The signal recognition particle (SRP) is a universally conserved ribonucleoprotein. It is involved in the co-translational targeting of proteins to membranes. The eukaryotic SRP consists of a 300-nucleotide 7S RNA and six proteins: SRPs 72, 68, 54, 19, 14, and 9.
Source: RNAcentral
GCUGGGCGGGUGGAGCACACCUGUAGUCCCAGCUACUCAGGAGGCUGAGGCAGGAGGAUCGCUUGAGCCCAGGAGUUCUGGGCUGUAGUGUGCUAUGCCAAUCGGGUGUCCGCAGUAAGUUUGACAUCAAUAUGGUGACCUUCCAGGAGCAGGGGACCACCAGGUUGCCUAAGGAGGGGUGAGCUGUCCCAGGUCAGACAUGGAGCAGGUCAAAACUCCCGUGCUGAUCAGUAGGGGGACCACACCCGUGAAAAGCCCCUGCACUCCAGCCUGGGCAGCACAGUGGGACCCCAGCUUUU